Long non-coding RNA from Chenopodium quinoa (quinoa), 501 nucleotides. RefSeq lists it as uncharacterized. Lineage: Eukaryota; Viridiplantae; Streptophyta; Magnoliopsida; Caryophyllales; Amaranthaceae. The transcript has 3 exons. The record is from RefSeq and is a predicted model, not a curated record.
CACGAAGCAAAGCGCAUUGCGGGGUAAGCAGGUCAGGGGUUCGAAACCCUUUGUAGCUGCUGCAUUUUAUGAAUGAUUAAUAAGUAAAGUUUUUUUAAAAAAGCCAUCAACAAUUUCCCUCUCCUCACCUCAUUGCUCGACAUCCUCACUUCUCAGCUCAUUCUUCUCUUCCCCAUUCUUCUCUCAAUUUUGACAAAAAUUCAAUCCAAAUCACCCCAAAUCUUCACAUACUUACGUUUGGAGCACUCCUCUUUGAUUGUUUGGCAAUUCUAAGGUGUUUUUCUUUUGUCGUUUCAACCUCUCGGACAUUUUUGGAAUUGAGCUUGAGCUUCAAGUGUCGCCCUAUACUUUGGCUUCUAUGGUGAAUAAGUUGUCCAAAAAGAUCGGAGUAAACCACUAUUCCAUGGAGCAUCACAACUUAGGGAGGAAGUUGACGCAACUAGGCAGAGUACUUGAAUCGACAGAUGUGUGGCAGCGCAGUUCCAGGUUCUUGGCGACAUU